Molecule: ribosomal RNA, 782 nt
Filed under: uncultured organism
Description: bacterial SSU rRNA
Rfam family: Bacterial small subunit ribosomal RNA
Source: RNAcentral
GCGUAAAGCGUUCGCAGGUGGCUGUUCAAGUCUGCUGUCAAAGACCGGAGCUUAACUCCGGAAAGGCGGUGGAAACUGAAGAGCUAGAGUGCGGUAGGGGUAGAGGGAAUUCCCAGUGUAGCGGUGAAAUGCGUAGAGAUUGGGAAGAACACCGGUGGCGAAAGCGCUCUACUAGGCCGCAACUGACACUCAGGGACGAAAGCUAGGGGAGCGAAUGGGAUUAGAUACCCCAGUAGUCCUAGCUGUAAACGAUGGGUACUAGGCGUAGCUUGUAUCGACCCGAGCUGUGCCGAAGCUAACGCGUUAAGUACCCCGCCUGGGGAGUACGCACGCAAGUGUGAAACUCAAAGGAAUUGACGGGGGCCCGCACAAGCGGUGGAGUAUGUGGUUUAAUUCGAUGCAACGCGAAGAACCUUACCAGGGCUUGACAUCCGGCGAAUUCUCUGGAAACAGAGAAGUGCCUACGGGAGCGCCGUGACAGGUGGUGCAUGGCUGUCGUCAGCUCGUGUCGUGAGAUGUUGGGUUAAGUCCCGCAACGAGCGCAACCCUCGUCCUUAGUUGCCAGCAUUAAGUUGGGCACUUUAGGGAGACUGCCGGUGACAAACCGGAGGAAGGUGGGGAUGACGUCAAGUCAGCAUGCCCCUUACGUCCUGGGCAACACACGUACUACAAUGGUCGAGACAAAGGGCAGCCAACUCGCAAGAGUGAGCGAAUCUCAGCAAACUCGGCCUCAGUUCAGAUCGCAGGCUGCAACUCGCCUGCGUGAAGGAGGAAUCGCUAGU